CACAUGCAAGUCGAACGGUAACAGGAAGUGCUUGCACUUCGCUGACGAGUGGCGGACGGGUGAGUAAUGCUUGGGAACUUGCCUUUGCGAGGGGGAUAACAGUUGGAAACGACUGCUAAUACCGCAUAACGUCUACGGACCAAACGGGGCUUCGGCUCCGGCGCAAAGAGAGGCCCAAGUGAGAUUAGCUAGUUGGUAAGGUAAAGGCUUACCAAGGCAACGAUCUCUAGCUGUUCUGAGAGGAAGAUCAGCCACACUGGAACUGAGACACGGUCCAGACUCCUACGGGAGGCAGCAGUGGGGAAUAUUGCACAAUGGGGGAAACCCUGAUGCAGCCAUGCCGCGUGUGUGAAGAAGGCCUUCGGGUUGUAAAGCACUUUCAGUUGUGAGGAAAAGUUAGUAGUUAAUACCUGCUAGCCGUGACGUUAACAACAGAAGAAGCACCGGCUAACUCCGUGCCAGCAGCCGCGGUAAUACGGAGGGUGCGAGCGUUAAUCGGAAUUACUGGGCGUAAAGCGCACGCAGGCGGUUUGUUAAGCUAGAUGUGAAAGCCCCGGGCUCAACCUGGGAUGGUCAUUUAGAACUGGCAGACUAGAGUCUUGGAGAGGGGAGUGGAAUUCCAGGUGUAGCGGUGAAAUGCGUAGAUAUCUGGAGGAACAUCAGUGGCGAAGGCGACUCCCUG
This 682-nucleotide ribosomal RNA is filed under the name uncultured bacterium. RNAcentral describes it as "bacterial SSU rRNA". It matches the Rfam family "Bacterial small subunit ribosomal RNA", at positions 52 to 731 of the family's 1533-position model. The record is from RNAcentral.